UACAGAGGUCUCAAGCGUUGUUCGGAUUCAUUGGGCGUAAAGGGUGCGUAGGUGGUGACGCAAGUCUGGUGUGAAAUCUCGGAGCUUAACUCCGAAAUUGCACCGGAUACUGCGUAACUCGAGGACUGUAGAGGAGAUCGGAAUUCACGGUGUAGCAGUGAAAUGCGUAGAUAUCGUGAGGAAGACCAGUUGCGAAGGCGGAUCUCUGGGCAGUACCUGACACUGAGGCACGAAGGCCAGGGGAGCAAACGGG
Molecule: ribosomal RNA, 253 nt
Filed under: uncultured bacterium
Lineage: Bacteria
Description: partial 16S ribosomal RNA
Rfam family: Bacterial small subunit ribosomal RNA
Source: RNAcentral